This 324-nucleotide ribosomal RNA is filed under the name uncultured soil bacterium. Its description in RNAcentral is "bacterial SSU rRNA". It matches the Rfam family "Bacterial small subunit ribosomal RNA", at positions 26 to 361 of the family's 1533-position model. The record is from RNAcentral.
AGAUUGAACGCUGGCGGCAUGCCUAACACAUGCAAGUCGAACGGGAGUAGCAAUACUCUAGUGGCGGACGGGUGAGGAAUACGUAGGAAUUUGCCCUUAAGUGGGGGAUAACCCGGGGAAACCCGGAUUAAUACCGCAUGACCUCGAAAGAGCAAAGUGGGGGAUCGCAAGACCUCACGCUUUUGGAGAAGCCUACGUCGGAUUAGCUAGUUGGUGAGGUAAUGGCUCACCAAGGCGACGAUCCGUAACUGGUCUGAGAGGAUGAUCAGUCACACCGGAACUGAGACACCGGUCCGGACUCCGUACGGGAGCAGCAGUGGGGAA